This 505-nucleotide ribosomal RNA is filed under the name uncultured bacterium. RNAcentral describes it as "partial 16S ribosomal RNA". It matches the Rfam family "Bacterial small subunit ribosomal RNA", at positions 28 to 507 of the family's 1533-position model. The record is from RNAcentral.
GACGAACGCUGGCGGCGUGCCUAAUACAUGCAAGUAGAACGCACAGUUUAUACCGUAGCUUGCUACACCAUAGACUGUGAGUUGCGAACGGGUGAGUAACGCGUAGGUAACCUGCCUGGUAGCGGGGGAUAACUAUUGGAAACGAUAGCUAAUACCGCAUAAUAUUAAUUAUUGCAUGAUAAUUAAUUGAAAGGUGCAAUUGCACCACUACCAGAUGGACCUGCGUUGUAUUAGCUAGUAGGUGAGGUAACGGCUCACCUAGGCGACGAUACAUAGCCGACCUGAGAGGGUGAUCGGCCACACUGGGACUGAGACACGGCCCAGACUCCUACGGGAGGCAGCAGUAGGGAAUCUUCGGCAAUGGACGAAAGUCUGACCGAGCAACGCCGCGGGAGUGAAGAAGGUUUUCGGAUCGUAAAGCUCUGUUGUAAGAGAAGAACGGGUGUGAGAGUGGAAAGUUCACACUGUGACGGUAUCUUACCAGAAAGGGACGGCUAACUACGUG